GACGAACGCUGGCGGCGUGCUUAACACAUGCAAGUCGAACGGAAAGGCCCUGCGUUUGUGGGGUGCUCGAGUGGCGAACGGGUGAGUAACACGUGAGUAACCUGCCCUUGACUUUGGGAUAACUUCAGGAAACUGGGGCUAAUACCGGAUAGGAGCUCCUGCUGCAUGGUGGUGGUUGGAAAGUUUCGGCGGUUGGGGAUGGACUCGCGGCUUAUCAGCUUGUUGGUGGGGUAGUGGCUUACCAAGGCUUUGACGGGUAGCCGGCCUGAGAGGGUGACCGGCCACAUUGGGACUGAGAUACGGCCCAGACUCCUACGGGAGGCAGCAGUGGGGAAUCUUGCACAAUGGGCGGAAGCCUGAUGCAGCAACGCCGCGUGCGGGAUGACGGCCUUCGGGUUGUAAACCGCUUUCGCCUGUGACGAAGCGUGAGUGACGGUAAUGGGUAAAGAAGCACCGGCUAACUACGUG
RNAcentral lists this ribosomal RNA (468 nucleotides) under uncultured bacterium. Its description in RNAcentral is "partial 16S ribosomal RNA". It matches the Rfam family "Bacterial small subunit ribosomal RNA", at positions 28 to 507 of the family's 1533-position model. The record is from RNAcentral.